CAGUAGCCGCGGUAAUACGUAGGUGGCAAGCGUUGUCCGGAAUUAUUGGGCGUAAAGGGCUCGCAGGCGGUUUCUUAAGUCCGAUGUGAAAGCCCCCGGCUCAACCGGGGAGGGUCAUUGGAAACUGGGAAACUUGAGUGCAGAAGAGGAGAGUGGAAUUCCACGUGUAGCGGUGAAAUGCGUAGAGAUGUGGAGGAACACCAGUGGCGAAGGCGACUCUCUGGUCUGUAACUGACGCCGAGGAGCGAAAGCGUGGGGAGCGAACAGGAUUAGAUACCCCGGUAGUCCCUGUCUCUUAUAC
Molecule: ribosomal RNA, 301 nt
Filed under: uncultured bacterium
Lineage: Bacteria
Description: partial 16S ribosomal RNA
Rfam family: Bacterial small subunit ribosomal RNA
Source: RNAcentral